This is a long non-coding RNA of Dendrobium catenatum, 262 nucleotides long. RefSeq lists it as uncharacterized. The transcript is spliced from 2 exons. Lineage: Eukaryota; Viridiplantae; Streptophyta; Magnoliopsida; Asparagales; Orchidaceae. The record is from RefSeq and is a predicted model, not a curated record.
GCAUUUAUCCCUCCUGCUUUAAAUCUUAUUUUGAUUUGUAGGUGAACAACAAUCUAAGGCCACCGACAUGAUCAUGGACAGUUGAACGGACUUGAUCGAGCAGGUGAUGAGCUCGCGGUCGCGGUGAUUAUGUCAACCAAGGGACUCCUGGGCUGUUUCUUUCCUUACCACACAAUGUGCUGAUAUCUUGUCAAACUGAACUUAAAAUUAAAAUGUUUUUCUGACUAGAAGUAUCUAUUGAUUAAUGAAUUAGAGUUCUGCA